UACGUAGGGUGCGAGCGUUAAUCGGAAUUACUGGGCGUAAAGCGUGCGCAGGCGGUUUUGUAAGCCCGAUGUGACAUCCCCGGGCUUAACCUGGGAAUGGCAUUUGGGACUGCAAGGCUGGAGUGUGGCAGAGGAGACUGGAAUUCCUGGUGUAGCAGUGAAAUGCGUAGAUAUCAGGAGGAAUACCGAUGGCGAAGGCAGGUCUCUGGGCUGACACUGACGCUCAUGCACGAAAGCGUGGGGAGCAAACAGG
RNAcentral lists this ribosomal RNA (253 nucleotides) under uncultured bacterium. RNAcentral's name for it is "partial 16S ribosomal RNA". It matches the Rfam family "Bacterial small subunit ribosomal RNA", at positions 524 to 776 of the family's 1533-position model. The record is from RNAcentral.